AAUGCCUAGGAAUCUGCCUGGUAGUGGGGGAUAACGUUCGGAAACGGACGCUAAUACCGCAUACGUCCUACGGGAGAAAGCAGGGGACCUUCGGGCCUUGCGCUAUCAGAUGAGCCUAGGUCGGAUUAGCUAGUUGGUGAGGUAAUGGCUCACCAAGGCGACGAUCCGUAACUGGUCUGAGAGGAUGAUCAGUCACACUGGAACUGAGACACGGUCCAGACUCCUACGGGAGGCAGCAGUGGGGAAUAUUGGACAAUGGGCGAAAGCCUGAUCCAGCCAUGCCGCGUGUGUGAAGAAGGUCUUCGGAUUGUAAAGCACUUUAAGUUGGGAGGAAGGGUUGUAGAUUAAUACUCUGCAAUUUUGACGUUACCGACAGAAUAAGCACCGGCUAACUCUGUGCCAGCAGCCGCGGUAAUACAGAGGGUGCAAGCGUUAAUCGGAAUUACUGGGCGUAAAGCGCGCGUAGGUGGUUUGUUAAGUUGGAUGUGAAAUCCCCGGGCUCGACCUGGAAACUGCAUUCAAAACUGACUGACUAGAGUAUGGUAGAGGGUGGUGGAAUUUCCUGUGUAGCGGUGAAAUGCGUAGAUAUAGGAAGG
This 596-nucleotide ribosomal RNA is filed under the name uncultured bacterium. Its description in RNAcentral is "bacterial SSU rRNA". It matches the Rfam family "Bacterial small subunit ribosomal RNA", at positions 112 to 704 of the family's 1533-position model. The record is from RNAcentral.